This 401-nucleotide ribosomal RNA is filed under the name uncultured bacterium. RNAcentral describes it as "bacterial SSU rRNA". It matches the Rfam family "Bacterial small subunit ribosomal RNA", at positions 355 to 773 of the family's 1533-position model. The record is from RNAcentral.
UGGGGAAUAUUGGACAAUGGGGGCAACCCUGAUCCAGCCAUGCCGCGUGAGUGAUGAAGGCCUUCGGGUUGUAAAGCUCUUUUGGCGGGGACGAUGAUGACGGUACCCGCAGAAUAAGCCCCGGCUAACUUCGUGCCAGCAGCCGCGGUAAGACGAAGGGGGCAAGCGUUGUUCGGAAUUACUGGGCGUAAAGGGCGCGUAGGCGGUUUGCUUAGUCAGGCGUGAAAGCCCUGGGCUUAACCUGGGAUGCGCGCUUGAUACUGGCAGGCUUGAGUGUGGGAGAGGUUGGUGGUAUUCCCAGUGUAGAGGUGAAAUUCGUAGAUAUUGGGAAGAACACCGGUGGCGAAGGCGGCCAACUGGACCACAACUGACGCUGAGGCGCGAAAGCGUGGGGAGCAAAC